Molecule: non-coding RNA, 115 nt
Filed under: Novosphingobium sp. FSW06-99
Lineage: Bacteria; Pseudomonadati; Pseudomonadota; Alphaproteobacteria; Sphingomonadales; Sphingomonadaceae
Also listed under: 1 other name
Description: Glycine riboswitch aptamer
Rfam family: Glycine riboswitch aptamer
About the family: This family represents the bacterial glycine riboswitch. Glycine riboswitches usually consist of two metabolite-binding aptamers domains with similar structures in tandem.
Source: Rfam by way of RNAcentral
CUGAUCGACGCGGGAGAGUUCUGCGCGAAUCGGCCCCCACCGGGGCCGGGUCGCAAGGACGCCGAAGGAGCAACCGCCCCGGAAACUCUCAGGCACCAAGGACCGCGUGGAUCAA